GACGUAGGGUGCAAGCGUUGUCCGGAUUUAUUGGGCGUAAAGAGCUCGUAGGCGGCUUGUUGCGUCGACUGUGAAAACCCGCGGCUUAACCGCGGGCUUGCAGUUGAUACGGGCAGGCUAGAGUUCGGUAGGGGAGACUGGAAUUCCUGGUUUAGCGGUGAAAUGCGCAGAUAUCAGGAGGAACACCGGUGGCGAAGGCGGGUCUCUGGGCCGAUACUGACGCUGAGGAGCGAAAGCGUGGGGAGCAAACAGG
This 253-nucleotide ribosomal RNA is filed under the name uncultured bacterium. Its description in RNAcentral is "partial 16S ribosomal RNA". It matches the Rfam family "Bacterial small subunit ribosomal RNA", at positions 524 to 776 of the family's 1533-position model. The record is from RNAcentral.